AUACGUAGGUGGCGAGCGUUAUCCGGAAUUACUGGGUGUAAAGGGUGAGUAGGCGGGAGAGCAAGUCAGAUGUGAAAUGCAAAGGCUUAACCUUUGAAUUGCAUUUGAAACUGUUUUUCUUGAGAGUCGGAGAGGUAAUCGGAAUUCCUAGUGUAGCGGUGAAAUGCGUAGAUAUUAGGAGGAACACCAGUGGCGAAGGCGGAUUACUGGACGACAACUGACGCUGAUACACGAAAGCGUGGGGAGC
This 247-nucleotide ribosomal RNA is filed under the name uncultured bacterium. Its description in RNAcentral is "partial 16S ribosomal RNA". It matches the Rfam family "Bacterial small subunit ribosomal RNA", at positions 523 to 769 of the family's 1533-position model. The record is from RNAcentral.